AUGGAUUGUCUCAUCUCGUGGGAUUUCUCCUAUGGCCAGAAGGUGGCCACACAGGUGCGUCGACGUUCCAAAUCUUUGGUUCAUUUCGAUGGUUCUCCCUCCUCUUCAGCUUUCUUCUUGGUUGUGGCAUUCAAUCAUUCUUCCUUCUGGUUGGAUCUGGACUCGGUAGCCAUGGCUUUGUGUUCUUGCCUGGGU
Molecule: ribosomal RNA, 195 nt
Filed under: Triticum aestivum (bread wheat)
Lineage: Eukaryota; Viridiplantae; Streptophyta; Magnoliopsida; Poales; Poaceae
Description: partial small subunit ribosomal RNA
Source: RNAcentral